RNAcentral lists this unclassified non-coding RNA (504 nucleotides) under Hevea brasiliensis (rubber tree). Lineage: Eukaryota; Viridiplantae; Streptophyta; Magnoliopsida; Malpighiales; Euphorbiaceae. The record is from RNAcentral.
GAUCAUUGAAGUCUAUCUUCCCCUAAAGAUCAACAAGCAUAUGGUCAAUCAGAAAAUAUAGAACAAGAAAGCAAAAGGUAAGUUUGGAUGACUUAAAGGACAAACUAGGCUCAAAUUAAGUUGGAUGACUCAAGGGACAGAGUAAAUGCUUCUAUAACUGAUCUUAUUUUCUGAUCACAUAGGAAAACCUCGUAAUGAUACCAGAAAGAUAAUCUAAUAUCUCUCCUGGUCACAUCUUUGCAUUAAUAUGACUGCUAUUCAAUACUUUCUAAUGAGAUUGUUUAUUUAUUUCUUAUCAGCAUUGCGGCUAUUGAUUCAAUUAUUUUUUAAUGAGAUUGUUUAUUGACUUCUUUAGUCUCAAAAAAGUUCCUCAGCGAUGCAUUUAUAAAAAGAAUGUUAAUAUGCUGAGAGUCGGAAUUUUUGCACAAAUAGCAUCUACAUUCUUGGCCAUACUAGACUAGAUAAAAUACGUAAUGAGAGUAUUAGAGAGAAGGUAGGAGUGGU